CAGAUUGCAGGCUGCAACUCGCCUGCAUGAAGUCGGAAUUGCUAGUAAUCGCAGAUCAGCAUGCUGCGGUGAAUACGUUCCCGGGCCUUGUACACACCGCCCGUCACACCAUGGGAGUCGGUAACACCCGAAGUCGGUAGCCUAACCGUAAGGAGGGCGCCGCCAAGGUGGGAUUGAUGACUGGGGUGAAGUCGUAACAAGGUACC
Molecule: ribosomal RNA, 206 nt
Filed under: uncultured bacterium
Lineage: Bacteria
Description: partial 16S ribosomal RNA
Rfam family: Bacterial small subunit ribosomal RNA
Source: RNAcentral